RNAcentral lists this unclassified non-coding RNA (213 nucleotides) under soil metagenome. RNAcentral describes it as "partial contains 5.8S ribosomal RNA, internal transcribed spacer 2, and large subunit ribosomal RNA". The record is from RNAcentral.
AACACUGUUAACCUGCGGUACCUGCGGAGGGAUCAUUACAAGUGACCCCGGUCUAACCACCGGGAUGUUCAUAACCCUUUGUUGUCCGACUCUGUUGCCUCCGGGGCGACCCUGCCUUCGGGCGGGGGCUCCGGGUGGACACUUCAAACUCUUGCGUAACUUUGCAGUCUGAGUAAACUUAAUUAAUAAAUUAAAACUUUCAACAAUGGAUCU